This 490-nucleotide ribosomal RNA is filed under the name uncultured bacterium. Its description in RNAcentral is "partial 16S ribosomal RNA". It matches the Rfam family "Bacterial small subunit ribosomal RNA", at positions 30 to 507 of the family's 1533-position model. The record is from RNAcentral.
AUUGAACGCUGGCGGCAGGCCUAACACAUGCAAGUCGAACGGUAACAGGAAGAAGCUUGCUUCUUUGCUGACGAGUGGCGGACGGGUGAGUAAUGUCUGGGAAACUGCCUGAUGGAGGGGGAUAACUACUGGAAACGGUAGCUAAUACCGCAUAACGUCGCAAGACCAAAGAGGGGGACCUUCGGGCCUCUUGCCAUCGGAUGUGCCCAGAUGGGAUUAGCUAGUAGGUGGGGUAACGGCUCACCUAGGCGACGAUCCCUAGCUGGUCUGAGAGGAUGACCAGCCACACUAGAACUAGGACAAGGACCAGACUCCUACGGGAGGCAGCAGUGAGGAAUAGUACACAAUGGGCGCAAGCCUGAUGCAGCCGUGCCACGUGUAUGAAGAAGACUUUCGGGUUGUAAAGUACUUUCAGCGGGGAGAAAGGAAGUAAAGUUAAUACCAUUACUCAUUGACGUUACCCGCAGGAGAAGCACAGGCUAACUCCGUG